CCUACGGGGGGCAGCAGUAGGGAAUUUUCGUCAAUGGGCGCAAGCCUGAACGAGCAAUGCCGCGUGAACGAGGAAGGUCUUCGGAUCGUAAAGUUCUGUUGAAGGGGAAAAAGAGCGGAGAGAGGAAAUGAACUCCGAUUGAUAUUAUCCUUCGAGGAAGUCACGGCUAACUACGUGCCAGCAGCCGCGGUAAUACGUAGGUGGCGAGUGUUAUCCGGAAUGAUUGGGCGUAAAGGGUGCGUAGGCGGCCUGCUAAGUCUGGAGUGAAAGGUACCGGCUCAACCGGUAUAGGCUCUGGAAACUGGCGGGCUAGAGGGCAGGAGAGGGCGGUGGAACUCCAUGUGUAGCGGUAAAAUGCGUAGAUAUAUGGAAGAACACCAGUGGCGAAGGCGGCCGCCUGGCCUGUUACUGACGCUGAGGCACGAAAGCGUGGGUAGCAAACAGGAUUAGAUACCCGGGUAGUC
Molecule: ribosomal RNA, 464 nt
Filed under: uncultured bacterium
Lineage: Bacteria
Description: partial 16S ribosomal RNA
Rfam family: Bacterial small subunit ribosomal RNA
Source: RNAcentral